This 29-nucleotide non-coding RNA is filed under the name Rattus norvegicus (Norway rat). Lineage: Eukaryota; Metazoa; Chordata; Mammalia; Rodentia; Muridae. The record is from RNAcentral.
UAGUUAAAGGGACUUUGAGGUGUAUGACU